AAGGAUUAGCGGCGGACGGGUGAGUAACACGUGAGUAACCUGCCUUUGACACAGGGAUAGCCUCGGGAAACUGGGAUUAAUACCUGAUGACAUCAUUAGAUCGCAUGGUUUAAUGAUUAAAAUGAUUUAGUGGUCAAAGAUGGACUCGCGUCUGAUUAGCUAGUUGGUGAGAUAAAAGCUCACCAAGGCAACGAUCAGUAACCGGCCUGAGAGGGUGAACGGUCACAUUGGAACUGAGACACGGUCCAAACUCCUACGGGAGGCAGCAGUGGGGAAUAUUGCACAAUGGAGGAAACUCUGAUGCAGCGACGCCGCGUGAGCGAUGAAGGUUUUCGAAUCGUAAAGCUCUGUCCCAUGGGAAGAUAAUGACGGUACCAUGGGAGGAAGCCCCGGCUAACUACGUGCCAGCAGCCGCGGUAAUACGUAGGGGGCUAGCGUUGUCCGGAAUUACUGGGCGUAAAGGGUUCGCAGGCGGAAAUAUAAGUCAGGUGUAAAAGGCGGAGGCUCAACCUCCGUAAGCAUUUGAAACUAUAUUUCUUGAGAUAUGGAGAGGCAAGUGGAAUUCCUAGUGUAGCGGUGAAAUGCGUAGAUAUUAGGAGGAAUACCAGUGGCGAAGGCGACUUGCUGGACAUAUACUGACGCUGAGGAACGAAAGCAUGGGUAGCAAACAGGAUUAGAUACCCUGGUAGUCCAUGCUGUA
This 700-nucleotide ribosomal RNA is filed under the name uncultured bacterium. RNAcentral's name for it is "bacterial SSU rRNA". It matches the Rfam family "Bacterial small subunit ribosomal RNA", at positions 87 to 804 of the family's 1533-position model. The record is from RNAcentral.